RNAcentral lists this long non-coding RNA (328 nucleotides) under Cyanistes caeruleus (blue tit). RNAcentral's name for it is "lncRNA (ENSCCEG00000013361.1)". Lineage: Eukaryota; Metazoa; Chordata; Aves; Passeriformes; Paridae. The record is from RNAcentral.
GAAGAUGGUGUUCAUGGUGCAACCUCAACUGGCUUUGCAGAAGUGGGGGAUUCACCUUUGCAGAAGUCCUCUGUGGGCCAGCAGCUCUAAAAGGCCUGAACUAAAAUGGGAAUAAGACAGGAAAGUGAAAAAUCUUGUUCUUCAGUGUGCUGUGUAAAAACAAGUUUACAGACAAUAGUCAGAUUGUAUGACCUGCCAGAGGUGAAAGAAGUUAUCUGCAAAGCAUGCAGAAUACUCACCUUUGGAGCUUUCCAAAUUUUGUCUGGAUAAGAACCUGAGCAACCUGCUCUAACUUCAGAAGUGGCUCUGCUUUGAUCAGGGACUUGGG